CGGGCGGGGGCCCGCGGUGGGGGCGACCCGGGGCGGCGGCGCCGAGCGGGUUAAGUGGCUCCCUGGAAGUCCUACGGUCCCAGCAACGGGCCGGCCAAUGGGAAGUGAGCCGGCUGAUGUCACUGGCAGCACUCCGCCAAUCAGCGCCCGGUCCCGAAAGUCUGCUGUACCAGAGGAGGAUGACAGAGAACAAUACUACUCAGCAGAUGCCAAUGAGGAUACAGUCUGUGAGCUGAUUUCAUCUGCUUCUCCGGUUUCUGAAGAUGCAGUAUCUCAGAAUGCCAGCAGUCAGUGAAGUUCUGCAGUUUUUAAAGCAUUUCUUUGUCAAGAAGUAAACUUGUUCUUUGAAGUAAACUUCUAGAUGAACUCUGCUACUUCCACAAUAUUGUUGCUGGUAAGUGGAUUUUUUAUGGAAUUAUUGACAGAGUUUGUCUUCUGCAUGCUGCUUUAUGCAG
This 455-nucleotide long non-coding RNA is filed under the name Zonotrichia albicollis (white-throated sparrow). RNAcentral describes it as "lncRNA (ENSZALG00000011011.1)". Lineage: Eukaryota; Metazoa; Chordata; Aves; Passeriformes; Passerellidae. The record is from RNAcentral.